UUGGCACCAAUAUAGCCGGCCGAAGAGCUUUUCCUGCGACUAAAACUAGCACCAUAUAUAUCACCGUAUCACAUCUUCCUUCCAUCCAUUUUCUUAAAAUACAACAACCCUAGCUUGAAGAGGCAUCUUGCCAGCAACCCAUCGUGAAGGAGAUUGAGUGCCGAUAGCUGCACCCAUCGUAAAGGUAGACGAUCGCUAGUAGCUGCAACCCUUGUGAAGGUGCUUGAGCAUUGGUGGCACCACACCCCUCACAUAAAUCAAAGCAAGCAGAUUCUGCAUGCAGAGAAUCACCAUCUGAAGAGAGAAUUCGCCGUAGUGCAGCUUCUACAGGGGAUUGUCCAACUGCUAUCAGAGAUUGUGAGAGAGUUUCUGAUUCUCGUUCAUCUGAUAAGUUUAAAUCAAAGGAUUGCAUCGAUUUUAUGGAAACUGCUGCUGCUUCUCAGUAUGAUAGGAACCCAUGAUCUGAUGCUUUUUCUUGACCAAAUAAGUCGAUUGCUUGGCCCUCAACUUAUGUGGCAGUUGCUGAAGAUUAGUAGAAGAAACCAUUUGCAAUCAUCAUGCAUGGACAUUGAGCUUAAAUAAUUUUGUUUGUUUCAAUAAAGAACGUCUUCAGUAUGGUUGUUAUGACUACGUUUGUUCGUGUAUGCUAUUUAGUAUCUGUUACCAUGUAAAGCAACCUCUUUUGUUUCGGUUAAGAAAUUCAGCUUUUGUUAUA
Molecule: long non-coding RNA, 715 nt
Organism: Elaeis guineensis (African oil palm)
Lineage: Eukaryota; Viridiplantae; Streptophyta; Magnoliopsida; Arecales; Arecaceae
Source: RefSeq, a predicted model, not a curated record